CUUUGUUAACAAAAAAAAAAAAAAUCAAGAUCAUUUCAAGACCAAACCAUAAGGAACAAUUAGGAUUGCAGUAAAGACUUUGUAGGUAAGGACACAGCAUAGGUGGCAUGACUGGACAUCGCUCAAGUGGCCAACCAUCAAACUCACUAUUUUAGUCAUAUAGGCAUUUUGUUCCACUACGCUAAUGUUUAAGGAUCCUGGUAUUUUGUAAAAUAAACUUUUGUAUAGUUUUGAUACUUAAUUCAUAAAAUUUUGGAUGUGUUCUUUUGAAA
Molecule: long non-coding RNA, 272 nt
Organism: Benincasa hispida (wax gourd)
Lineage: Eukaryota; Viridiplantae; Streptophyta; Magnoliopsida; Cucurbitales; Cucurbitaceae
Source: RefSeq, a predicted model, not a curated record